GGAAGGGGUGUAUUUAUUAGAUAAAAAACCAAUGCCCUUCGGGGCUCCUUGGUGAUUCAUAAUAACUUAACGGAUCGCAUGGCCUUGCGCCGGCGACGGUUCAUUCAAAUUUCUGCCCUAUCAACUUUCGAUGGUAAGGUAUUGGCUUACCAUGGUUUCAACGGGUAACGGAUUUUUAGGGAAAGAUCCCGGAGAGGGAGCCUGAGAAACGGCUACCACAUCCAAGGAAGGCAGCAGGCGCGCAAAUUACCCAAUCCCGACACGGGGAGGUAGUGACAAUAAAUACUGAUACAGGGCUCUUUUGGGUCUUGUAAUCGGAAUGAGUACAAUUUAAAUACCUUAACGAGGAACAAUUGGAGGGCAAGUCUGGUGCCAGCAGCCGCGGUAAUUCCAGCUCCAAUAGCGUAUAUUAAAGUUGUUGCAGUUAAAAAGCUCGUAGUUGAACCUUGGGCCUGGCUGGCCGGUCCGCCUCACCGCGUGUACUGGUCCGGCCGGGCCUUUCCUUCUGGAGAACCGCAUGCCCUUCACUGGGUGUGUCGGGGAACCAGGACUUUUAC
Molecule: ribosomal RNA, 557 nt
Filed under: uncultured fungus
Lineage: Eukaryota; Fungi
Description: SSU rRNA
Rfam family: Eukaryotic small subunit ribosomal RNA
Source: RNAcentral